RNAcentral lists this ribosomal RNA (536 nucleotides) under uncultured bacterium. Its description in RNAcentral is "bacterial SSU rRNA". It matches the Rfam family "Bacterial small subunit ribosomal RNA", at positions 366 to 917 of the family's 1533-position model. The record is from RNAcentral.
GCACAAUGGAGGNAAACUCUGNUGCAGCGACGCCGCGUGAGCGAUGAAGCCCUUCGGGGUGUAAAGCUCUUUCGACGGGAACGAUAAUGACGGUACCCGGAGAAGAAGCUGCGGCUAACUACGUGCCAGCAGCCGCGGUAAUACGUAGGCAGCAAGCGUUGUUCGGAAUUACNUGGGCGUAAAGAGUGUGUAGGCGGUUCUCUAUGUUCGGUGUGAAAUCUCCCGGCUUAACUGGGAGGGUGCGCCGAAAACUGGAGGGCUUGAGUAUGGGAGAGGAAAGCGGAAUUCCUGGUGUAGCNGGUGAAAUGCGUAGAUAUCAGGAGGAACACCUGCGGUGUAGACGGCUUUCUGGACCAUCACUGACGCUGAGACACGAAAGCGUGGGUAGCAAACAGGAUUAGAUACCCUGGUAGUCCACGCCCUAAACGAUGCAUACUUGGUGUGAGCCGUUCAUUCGGUUCGUGCCGGAGCUAACGCGUUAAGUAUGCCGCCUGGGGAGUACGGUCGCAAGGCUGAAACUCAAAAAAAUUGACGGA